RNAcentral lists this ribosomal RNA (460 nucleotides) under uncultured bacterium. RNAcentral describes it as "partial 16S ribosomal RNA". It matches the Rfam family "Bacterial small subunit ribosomal RNA", at positions 338 to 795 of the family's 1533-position model. The record is from RNAcentral.
CCUACGGGAGGCAGCAGUGAGGAAUAUUGGUCAAUGGGCGCGAGCCUGAACCAGCCAAGUAGCGUGAAGGAUGACUGCCCUACGGGUUGUAAACUUCUUUUAUAAAGGAAUAAAGUGAGGCACGUGUGCCUUUUUGCAUGUACUUUAUGAAUCAGCAUCGGCUAAUUCAGUGCCAGCAGCCGCGGUAAUACGGAGGAUGCGAGCGUUAUCCGGAUUUAUUGGGUUUAAAGGGUGCGUAGGUGGUUAAUUAAGUCAGCGGUGAAAAUUUGUGGCUCAACCAUAAAAUUGCCGUUGAAACUGGUUGACUUGAGUAUAUUUGAGGUAGGCGGAAUGCGUGGUGUAGCGGUGAAAUGCAUAGAUAUCACGCAGAACUCCGAUUGCGAAGGCAGCUUACUAAACUGCCACUGACAUUGAUGCUCGAAAGUGUGGGUAGCAAACAGGAUUAGAUACCCGAGUAGUC